Molecule: long non-coding RNA, 366 nt
Filed under: Marmota marmota marmota (Alpine marmot)
Lineage: Eukaryota; Metazoa; Chordata; Mammalia; Rodentia; Sciuridae
Description: lncRNA (ENSMMMG00000023007.1)
Source: RNAcentral
CAGCGCUUUCGGCGCCAUUUUCGAGUGAUGCCUGAUCUCAUCAAUCUAGCGGGAGAGACGGGAUAACCUGUCUUGAGCGUAUAGUGCCACUAGCGCUCCGCUGAAAAACCACUAAAAAAAAAAAAAAUCACCAAAAAUAACUUGGAGCAAAAGACAAUCCGCGAAGCUUCGCCAGGGUUGACGCAGUGGGUUUUGACCUUUAGGAGAGAGCCAAUUCUGGAAAACAAUCUAACUUCUUUGAUUGAAUACACACAUAAUGCUUUGGAACAUGAUAGGAGAUUAAGGUUUAAUAAUGACAAAAUGAAGACUACAAUAAAACAGCUCCCUACUAGCCCAGGAAUUCUUACCUUGUGCUCUCAUUUCUAA